UUCGCCUGCGGCUGUGGGGAUUGUGGGGUGGAUGGUCCGUGCGCCUGUGCCCUUUGUUAUGAAAACAGGCUCCUAGCUCCUAGAGGUUUCAACGAUGGAGCUGGUGCCACCACCAGAACGCGUGACCCUGCCAGCCGGCGUGAACCUGGUGCAGUGUUUCGUCUGCACGGCAAUGUUCUACACCCAGGAGGAGCUGGAGAAGCAUGUCAAGCUUCACAGGAAGACAGACAUUGUGCGGGCCGUCAUCGAGCACAGGGGCGAGCGGCACCACCGGCCGUCGGGCAGCUGCCUGCGGC
RNAcentral lists this long non-coding RNA (296 nucleotides) under Pollicipes pollicipes. RNAcentral describes it as "uncharacterized LOC119105861". Lineage: Eukaryota; Metazoa; Arthropoda; Thecostraca; Pollicipedomorpha; Pollicipedidae. The record is from RNAcentral.